UUCCUACGGGGCGCAGCAGUCGGGAAUAUUGCGCAAUGGAGGAAACUCUGACGCAGUGACGCCGCGUAUGGGAAGAAGGUUUUCGGAUUGUAAACCAUUGUCGUUAGGGAAGAAGAAGUGACAGUACCUAAGGAGGAAGCUCCGGCUAACUAUGUGCCAGCAGCCGCGGUAAUACGUAGGGGGCAAGCGUUAUCCGGAUUUACUGGGUGUAAAGGGAGCGUAGACGGCGCGGCAAGUCUGAAGUGAAAGGCAGGGGCUUAACCCCUGAACUGCUUUGGAAACUGCCAUGCUAGAGUGCUGGAGAG
This 305-nucleotide ribosomal RNA is filed under the name uncultured bacterium. Its description in RNAcentral is "bacterial SSU rRNA". It matches the Rfam family "Bacterial small subunit ribosomal RNA", at positions 336 to 656 of the family's 1533-position model. The record is from RNAcentral.